AUACGGAGGGUGCAAGCGUUAAUCGGAAUUACUGGGCGUAAAGCGUACGUAGGCGGUUAUUUAAGUCAGAUGUGAAAUCCAGGGGCUCAACCCCGCAACUGCCUUUAAAACUGGCAAUCUAGAGUUAUGGAGAGGUAAGUGGAAUUCCUAGUGUAGAGGUGAAAUUCGUAGAGAUCUGAAGGAACACCAGUGGCGAAGGCGACUCCCUGGACUCGAACUGACGCUGAGGUACGAAAGCGUGGGUAGCAAACGGGAUUAGAAACCCUAGUAGUCC
Molecule: ribosomal RNA, 274 nt
Filed under: uncultured bacterium
Lineage: Bacteria
Description: partial 16S ribosomal RNA
Rfam family: Bacterial small subunit ribosomal RNA
Source: RNAcentral